This 347-nucleotide unclassified non-coding RNA is filed under the name Hevea brasiliensis (rubber tree). Lineage: Eukaryota; Viridiplantae; Streptophyta; Magnoliopsida; Malpighiales; Euphorbiaceae. The record is from RNAcentral.
GCACACGUGGACACAGAAGGCCCAGAGGCAGAAGACUAACCCAUAUUUGCAUUGCGAGUCCCGAACUCCUGCGUCUUCGCCGUUUAUCUACAGUCUCUCCGUCUGGGGUUAUUAUAAAAAAAUAGGAUUUCAUAAAACCCCCAAAUCAGACCGGACCCUGUCUACAAAUUCGUACAUCUCCAAGAUACACCCCAACGCUUUAUAGAGCGAUAUUGAGAGAGUGGAAUUUUGAUCCCCGAAACGAAGCUAUGCCUCGUCGUAGGGACGAAGACGACGAGGAGCUCGAUGCAGAUGAUGAGGAAUACGAUGACCAGGAGCAGCAGGUGAUGGACGACGAAGAAGAAGAG